UUGCCCUAGUAACGGCGAGUGAAGCGGCAACAGCUCAAAUUUGAAAUCUGGCUCUUUUAGAGUCCGAGUUGUAAUUUGCAGAGGGCGCUUUGGCGUUGGCAGCGGUCCAAGUUCUUUGGAACAGGACGUCACAGAGGGUGAGAAUCCCGUACGUGGUCGCUAUCCUUCGCCGUGUAAAGCCCCUUCGACGAGUCGAGUUGUUUGGGAAUGCAGCUCUAAAUGGGAGGUAAAUUUCUUCUAAAGCUAAAUACUGGCCAGAGACCGAUAGCGCACAAGUAGAGUGAUCGAAAGAUGAAAAGCACUUUGGAAAGAGAGUCAAAUAGCACGUGAAAUUGUUGAAAGGGAAGCGCUUGCAGCCAGACUUGCCUGUAGUUGCUUAUCUGGACUUUUGUCCAGUGCACUCUUCUAUAGGCAGGCCAGCAUCAGUUUGGGCGGUUAGAUAAAGGUCUCUGUCAUGUACCUCUCUUCGGGGAGGCCUUAUAGGGGAGACGACAUGUAACCAGCCUGGACUGAGGUCCGCGCAUCUGCUAGGAUGCUGGCGUAAUGGCUGUAAGCGGCCCGUCUUGAAACACGGACCAAGGAGUCUAACAUUUAUGCGAGUGUUUGGGUGUCAAGCCCAGACGCGUAAUGAAAGUGAACGGAGGUAGGAACCCUUUGGGUGCACCAUCGACCGAUCCUGAUGUCUUCGGAAGGAUUUGAGUAAGAGCAUGGCUGUUGGGACCCGAAAGAUGGUGAACUAUGCUUGAAUAGGGUGAAGCCAGAGGAAACUCUGGUGGAGGCUCGCAGCGGUUCUGACGUGCAAAUCGAUCGUCAAAUUU
RNAcentral lists this ribosomal RNA (818 nucleotides) under Ophiobolus malleolus. RNAcentral describes it as "partial large subunit ribosomal RNA". It matches the Rfam family "Eukaryotic large subunit ribosomal RNA", at positions 75 to 912 of the family's 3401-position model. The record is from RNAcentral. Lineage: Eukaryota; Fungi; Ascomycota; Dothideomycetes; Pleosporales; Phaeosphaeriaceae.